AUUGAACGCUGGCGGCAUGCCUUACACAUGCAAGUCGAACGGUAACAGGUCUUCGGAUGCUGACGAGUGGCGAACGGGUGAGUAAUACAUCGGAACGUGCCUAGUAGUGGGGGAUAACUACUCGAAAGAGUGGCUAAUACCGCAUGAGAUCUACGGAUGAAAGCAGGGGAUCGCAAGACCUUGUGCUACUAGAGCGGCCGAUGGCAGAUUAGGUAGUUGGUGGGAUAAAAGCUUACCAAGCCGACGAUCUGUAGCUGGUCUGAGAGGACGAUCAGCCACGCUGGGACUGAGAAACGGCCAGACGCCUACGGGAGGCAGCAGUGGGGAAUUUUGGACAAUGGGCGCAAGCCUGAUCCAGCAAUGCCGCGUGCAGGAUGAAGGCCUUCGGGUUGUAAACUGCUUUUGUACGGAACGAAAAGCCCCGGGUUAAUACCCUGGGGUCAUGACGGUACCGUAAGAAUAAGCACCGGCUAACUACGUGCCAGCAGCCGCCGUAA
RNAcentral lists this ribosomal RNA (497 nucleotides) under uncultured bacterium. Its description in RNAcentral is "partial 16S ribosomal RNA". It matches the Rfam family "Bacterial small subunit ribosomal RNA", at positions 30 to 523 of the family's 1533-position model. The record is from RNAcentral.